Molecule: ribosomal RNA, 494 nt
Filed under: uncultured bacterium
Lineage: Bacteria
Description: partial 16S ribosomal RNA
Rfam family: Bacterial small subunit ribosomal RNA
Source: RNAcentral
GACGAACGCUGGCGGCGUGCUUAACACAUGCAAGUCGAACGGUGAAGCGCCUUCCUUUUUGGUGGGUGUGGAUGAGUGGCGAACGGGUGAGUAACACGUGAGUAACCUGCCCCCUUCUUCUGGAUAACCGCAUGAAAGUGUGGCUAAUACGGGAUAUUCUGGGUCUGUCGCAUGAUGGGUCUGGGAAAGAUAUUGUUUCGGUGGGGGAUGGGCUCGCGGCCUAUCAGCUUGUUGGUGGGGUGAUGGCCUACCAAGGCGGUGACGGGUAGCCGGCCUGAGAGGGUGGACGGUCACACUGGGACUGGGACACGGCCCAGACUCCUACGGGAGGCAGCAGUGGGGAAUAUUGCACAAUGGGCGCAAGCCUGAUGCAGCGACGCCGCGUGAGGGAUGGAGGCCUUCGGGUUGUGAACCUCUUUCGCCAGUGAAGCAGGCCUGCCUCGUUUGUGGGUGGGUUGACGGUAGCUGGAUAGGAAGCGCCGGCUAACUACGUG